RNAcentral lists this ribosomal RNA (524 nucleotides) under uncultured bacterium. RNAcentral describes it as "bacterial SSU rRNA". It matches the Rfam family "Bacterial small subunit ribosomal RNA", at positions 551 to 1074 of the family's 1533-position model. The record is from RNAcentral.
UUAUUGGGCGUAAAGCGCGCGCAGGCGGAUUGGUCAGUCUGUCUUAAAAGUUCGGGGCUUAACCCCGUGAUGGGAUGGAAACUGCCAAUCUAGAGUAUCGGAGAGGAAAGUGGAAUUCCUAGUGUAGCGGUGAAAUGCGUAGAUAUUAGGAAGAACACCAGUGGCGAAGGCGACUUUCUGGACGAAAACUGACGCUGAGGCGCGAAAGCCAGGGGAGCGAACGGGAUUAGAUACCCCGGUAGUCCUGGCCGUAAACGAUGGGUACUAGGUGUAGGAGGUAUCGACCCCUUCUGUGCCGGAGUUAACGCAAUAAGUACCCCGCCUGGGGAGUACGACCGCAAGGUUGAAACUCAAAGGAAUUGACGGGGGCCCGCACAAGCGGUGGAGUAUGUGGUUUAAUUCGACGCAACGCGAAGAACCUUACCAGGUCUUGACAUUGAUGGACAGAACUAGAGAUAGUUCCUCUUCUUCGGAAGCCAGAAAACAGGUGGUGCACGGUUGUCGUCAGCUCGUGUCGUGAGAAG